RNAcentral lists this transfer RNA (85 nucleotides) under Camillea tinctor. Its description in RNAcentral is "tRNA-Thr". It matches the Rfam family "tRNA". From Rfam's summary of the family: Transfer RNA (tRNA) molecules are approximately 80 nucleotides in length. Their secondary structure includes four short double-helical elements and three loops (D, anti-codon, and T loops). Lineage: Eukaryota; Fungi; Ascomycota; Sordariomycetes; Xylariales; Graphostromataceae. The record is from RNAcentral.
GCCCGACUGGCUCAGCGGUAGAGCGCCUCACUAGUACCACAACUAGAAUAUGAGGAGGCGACUGGUUCGACUCCAGUGUUGGGCA